This 481-nucleotide ribosomal RNA is filed under the name uncultured organism. Its description in RNAcentral is "bacterial SSU rRNA". It matches the Rfam family "Bacterial small subunit ribosomal RNA", at positions 28 to 507 of the family's 1533-position model. The record is from RNAcentral.
GAUGAACGCUGGCGGCGUGCUUAACACAUGCAAGUCGAACGAAGCAUAAGAAACGGAUUUCUUCGGAAUGAAAGAUUUUAUGACUGAGUGGCGGACGGGUGAGUAACGCGUGGAUAACCUACCUCAUACAGGGGGAUAACAGUUAGAAAUGACUGCUAAUACCGCAUAAGCGCACAGAACCACAUGGUUCGGUGUGAAAAACUCCGGUGGUAUGAGAUGGAUCCGCGUCUGAUUAGCUAGUUGGUAAGGUAAUGGCUUACCAAGGCGACGAUCAGUAGCCGACCUGAGAGGGUGAUCGGCCACAUUGGGACUGAGACACGGCCCAAACUCCUACGGGAGGCAGCAGUGGGGAAUAUUGCACAAUGGGGGAAACCCUGAUGCAGCGACGCCGCGUGAAGGAUGAAGUGUUUCGGCAUGUAAACUUCUAUCAGCAGGGAAGAAAAUGACGGUACCUGACUAAGAAGCCCCGGCUAACUACGUG